RNAcentral lists this ribosomal RNA (496 nucleotides) under uncultured bacterium. Its description in RNAcentral is "partial 16S ribosomal RNA". It matches the Rfam family "Bacterial small subunit ribosomal RNA", at positions 28 to 507 of the family's 1533-position model. The record is from RNAcentral.
GAUGAACGCUGGCGGCGUGCCUAAUACAUGCAAGUCGAGCGAACAGACGAGGAGCUUGCUCCUCUGACGUUAGCGGCGGACGGGUGAGUAACACGUGGAUAACCUACCUAUAAGACUGGGAUAACUUCGGGAAACCGGAGCUAAUACCGGAUAAUAUAUUGAACCGCAUGGUUCAAUAGUGAAAGACGGUUUUGCUGUCACUUAUAGAUGGAUCCGCGCCGCAUUAGCUAGUUGGUAAGGUAACGGCUUACCAAGGCAACGAUGCGUAGCCGACCUGAGAGGGGGAUCGGCCAACCGGAAACUGAGACACGGCCCAGACUCCUAGGGGAGGCAGCGGUAGGAAUCUUCCGCAAUGGGCGAAAGCCUGACGGAGCAACGCCGCGUGAGUGAUGAAGGUCUUCGGAUCGUAAAACUCUGUUAUUAGGGAAGAACAAAUGUGUAAGUAACUAUGCACGUCUUGACGGUACCUAAUCAGAAAGCCACGGCUAACUACGUG